GAAAAACUUCUGUCCAGUAUUCCUUACUGUCAGCUUGUGCAGAUGAAGGAGUUUUCCACCCUGUUCGCCCUUUCCCUGAAGGUGUUUUUCUUCCUGCGUCCUAUCUAUCUUCUGUGCUUGGUUUCCAAUUCCCUCGCUGAUGAUGUUUGUUCUAUCCUUUUCGGAAGGAAGAUCAUUCUUGAUGGAAAAGAUGAAGCCAUACCGGAAUGAAGUAAUUGUUUUUCUACAUAAUCUGUUUACAUUAAACCAUCUUCUCCAAUAGA
This is a non-coding RNA of Equus caballus (horse), 263 nucleotides long. NCBI's taxonomy places the organism in Eukaryota, Metazoa, Chordata, Mammalia, Perissodactyla, Equidae. The record is from RefSeq and is a predicted model, not a curated record.